AACAGUCAGGGCUCCAGCUGGAGGACGAUAAUGCAAGGUGCUAUGUUCUUGGCUGUUCAACACGACUGCAGCCCCAUGGACAAGAGCGCAGGCAGCGGCCACAAGAGCGAGGAGAAGCGGGAAAAGAUGAAACGGACCCUUUUAAAAGAUUGGAAGACCCGUUUGAGCUACUUCUUGCAAAAUUCCUCUACUCCUGGGAAGCCCAAAACCGGCAAAAAAAGCAAACAGCAAGCUUUCAUCAAGUAAGUUGAGAAUCCUGUGCUUGCAAAUAUCAGUAGUUAGCUGCUGAACUGAAAAGGGGAACUCUGAUGUGCGUAAGCUAACAUGCAGAACCUCUCUUGCAGGCCUUCUCCUGAGGAAGCACAGCUGUGGUCAGAAGCAUUUGACGAGCUGCUAGCCAGCAAAUGUAAGUUAACUCUUGAACUGGAGCCAUUACUAACAUCUCAAAAGCCUGGAAAGGCUGCGUCCACCUAACAAGAGCAACUUGCCUGAGGGGGAUUAGACUGCAGUCACUAUAGGAUAAAGCCUGUUUUUCUCUCCUUUAUUUCCCAGGGUUUAACCAUGGAAAUAAAUGCAUAUAUUCCCUCCAGGUGGGGAAGAAAAUCAGCCUAAACAAAUUAAAGUGGCAGUUGCUUAUAGUUAGGGUUGAGUCAGUUUUUCCAUUGCAUACAAUGUUUUCAAGAGGCUUAGUUGCCAGAGAAUUUAUGGCUCCCCUAUAAAUAUUUACUUUGCAUUGACAGCAAAGUACUUAUAUUUUUGCAGCAGAGUGCCAACAUAAGCCUUUUGCCUACUGGUAUCUUAGUCUUUAAAAAGCUAAAUUUUGAGAAUUACAGGUUUGAGCAAAAUCUAGAAAAUUCAUUUAGAAAUAAUUAAAAUG
RNAcentral lists this small RNA (877 nucleotides) under Pongo abelii (Sumatran orangutan). RNAcentral describes it as "processed transcript". The record is from RNAcentral. Lineage: Eukaryota; Metazoa; Chordata; Mammalia; Primates; Hominidae.